AAAUCCGUUGACUUUUAAAAUCGUGAGGGUUCAAGUCCCUCUAUCCCCA
RNAcentral lists this transfer RNA (49 nucleotides) under Thlaspi arvense. RNAcentral's name for it is "partial tRNA-Leu". RNAcentral also lists the same sequence under 22 other names. Lineage: Eukaryota; Viridiplantae; Streptophyta; Magnoliopsida; Brassicales; Brassicaceae. The record is from RNAcentral.